This 498-nucleotide ribosomal RNA is filed under the name uncultured bacterium. Its description in RNAcentral is "partial 16S ribosomal RNA". It matches the Rfam family "Bacterial small subunit ribosomal RNA", at positions 30 to 523 of the family's 1533-position model. The record is from RNAcentral.
AUUGAACGCUGGCGGCAUGCCUUACACAUGCAAGUCGAACGGUAACAGGUCUUCGGAUGCUGACGAGUGGCGAACGGGUGAGUAAUACAUCGGAACGUGCCUAGUAGUGGGGGAUAACUACUCGAAAGAGUGGCUAAUACCGCAUGAGAUCUACGGAUGAAAGCAGGGGAUCGCAAGACCUUGUGCUACUAGAGCGGCCGAUGGCAGAUUAGGUAGUUGGUGGGAUAAAAGCUUACCAAGCCGACGAUCUGUAGCUGGUCUGAGAGGACGAUCAGCCACACGGGGACUGAGACACGGCCCAGACUCCUACGGGAGGGAGCAGUGGGGAAUUUUGGACAAUGGGCGAAAGCCUGAUCCAGCAAUGCCGCGUGCAGGAUGAAGGCCUUCGGGUUGUAAACUGCUUUUGUACGGAACGAAAAGCCCUGGGUUAAUACCCUGGGGUCAUGACGGUACCGUAAGAAUAAGCACCGGCUAACUACGUGCCAGCAGCCGCCGUAA